Molecule: ribosomal RNA, 446 nt
Filed under: uncultured bacterium
Lineage: Bacteria
Description: bacterial SSU rRNA
Rfam family: Bacterial small subunit ribosomal RNA
Source: RNAcentral
AUUGAACGCUGGCGGCAUGCCUUACACAUGCAAGUCGAACGGUAGCGGGCCUUCGGGUGCCGACGAGUGGCGAACGGGUGAGUAAUGUAUCGGAACGUACCAUUGAGUGGGGGAUAACGUAGCGAAAGUUACGCUAAUACCGCAUAUUCUCUCCGGAGGAAAGCAGGGGACCGCAAGGCCUUGCGCUCUUUGAGCGGCCGAUAUCAGAUUAGCUAGUUGGUGAGGUAAGGCUCACCAAGGCGACGAUCUGUAGCGGGUCUGAGAGGAUGAUCCGCCACACUGGAACUGAGACACGGUCCAGACUCCUACGGGAGGCAGCAGUGGGGAAUUUUGGACAAUGGGCGCAAGCCUGAUCCAGCCAUGCCGCGUGAGUGAAGAAGGCCUUGGUUGUAAGACUCUUCGGUUGGGAAGGAAUUAGCACAGGAUAAUACCUUGUGUAGAUAGAC